GACAGAGGGUGCGAACGUUGCUCGGAAUUACUGGGCGUAAAGCGCGUGUAGGCGGGCAUGCAAGUCAGGUGUGAAAGCCCCGAGCUCAACUUGGGAAUUGCACUUGAAACUGCAUGUCUUGAGUGCCGGAGAGGAUCGUGGAAUUCCUGGUGUAGAGGUGAAAUUCGUAGAUAUCAGGAGGAACACCGGUGGCGAAGGCGGCGAUCUGGACGGUAACUGACGCUGAGACGCGAAAGCGUGGGGAGCAAACAGG
This 253-nucleotide ribosomal RNA is filed under the name uncultured bacterium. RNAcentral describes it as "partial 16S ribosomal RNA". It matches the Rfam family "Bacterial small subunit ribosomal RNA", at positions 524 to 776 of the family's 1533-position model. The record is from RNAcentral.